This 910-nucleotide ribosomal RNA is filed under the name uncultured bacterium. Its description in RNAcentral is "bacterial SSU rRNA". It matches the Rfam family "Bacterial small subunit ribosomal RNA", at positions 33 to 923 of the family's 1533-position model. The record is from RNAcentral.
ACGCUGGCGGCGUGCCUAAUACAUGCAAGUCGAACGAGAGCGACCGGUGCUUGCACUGGUCAAUCUAGUGGCGAACGGGUGAGUAACACGUGGGUAACCUGCCCAUCAGAGGGGGAUAACAUUCGGAAACGGAUGCUAAAACCGCAUAGGUCUUCGAACCGCAUGGUUUGAAGAGGAAAAGAGGCGCAAGCUUCUGCUGAUGGAUGGACCCGCGGUGCAUUAGCUAGUUGGUGAGGUAACGGCUCACCAAGGCCGUGAUGCAUAGCCGACCUGAGAGGGUGAUCGGCCACAUUGGGACUGAGACACGGCCCAAACUCCUACGGGAGGCAGCAGUAGGGAAUCUUCCGCAAUGGACGCAAGUCUGACGGAGCAACGCCGCGUGAGUGAAGAAGGUUUUCGGAUCGUAAAACUCUGUUGUUAGAGAAGAACAAGUGCUAGAGUAACUGUUAGCGCCUUGACGGUAUCUAACCAGAAAGCCACGGCUAACUACGUGCCAGCAGCCGCGGUAAUACGUAGGUGGCAAGCGUUGUCCGGAUUUAUUGGGCGUAAAGCGAGCGCAGGCGGUUCCUUAAGUCUGAUGUGAAAGCCCCCGGCUCAACCGGGGAGGGUCAUUGGAAACUGGGGAACUUGAGUGCAGAAGAGGAGAGUGGAAUUCCAUGUGUAGCGGUGAAAUGCGUAGAUAUAUGGAGGAACACCAGUGGCGAAGGCGACUCUCUGGUCUGUAACUGACGCUGAGGCUCGAAAGCGUGGGUAGCAAACAGGAUUAGAUACCCUGGUAGUCCACGCCGUAAACGAUGAGUGCUAAGUGUUGGAGGGUUUCCGCCCUUCAGUGCUGCAGUUAACGCAUUAAGCACUCCGCCUGGGGAGUACGACCGCAAGGUUGAAACUCAAAGGAAUUGACGGGGACCCG